RNAcentral lists this unclassified non-coding RNA (324 nucleotides) under soil metagenome. RNAcentral's name for it is "partial contains 5.8S ribosomal RNA, internal transcribed spacer 2, and large subunit ribosomal RNA". The stretch from base 1 to 120 matches the Rfam family "5.8S ribosomal RNA", at positions 35 to 154 of the family's 154-position model. The record is from RNAcentral.
GAUGAAGAACGUAGCGAAAUGCGAUAAGUAGUGUGAAUUGCAGACUUUAGUGAAUCAUCGAAUCUUUGAACGCACAUUGCGCCCCUUGGUAUUCCAUUGGGCAUGCCUGUUCGAGCGUCAUUUAAACCUUCAAGCUUUGCUUGGUGUUGGGUGUUUGUCCCUCGGGACUCGCCUUAAAGUCAUUGGCAGCCAGUGUUUUGGUUUUGAAGCGCAGCACAAGUCGCGAUUCAAGGCUAUCCGCCCGCUUCCACAAGCCUUUUUCACUUUUGACCUCGGAUCAGGUAGGGAUACCCGCUGAACUUAAGCAUAUCAAUAAGCGGAGGA